RNAcentral lists this ribosomal RNA (440 nucleotides) under uncultured bacterium. RNAcentral describes it as "partial 16S ribosomal RNA". It matches the Rfam family "Bacterial small subunit ribosomal RNA", at positions 338 to 795 of the family's 1533-position model. The record is from RNAcentral.
CCUACGGGAGGCAGCAGUGGGGAAUAUUGGUCAAUGGGGGGAACCCUGAUCCAGCGACGCCGCGUGAGUGAAGAAGUCUUUCGGUAUGUAAAGCUCUAUCAGCAGGAAAGAAAAUGACGGUACCUGUCGAAGAAUCCACGGCUGAAUAGGGGCCAGCAGCCGCGGUACUACGUAGGGGGCAAGCGUUAUCCGGAUUUACUGGGGGUAAAGGGGGCGUAGGCGGCAGCGCAAGUCUGGAGUGAAAUGCCGGGGCCCAACCCCGGAACUGCUGUGGAAACUGGGCAGCUGGAGUGCAGGAGAGGUAGGCGGAAUUCGUGGUGUAGCGGUGAAAUGCGUAGAUAUCAGGAGGAACCCCGGCGGCGAAGGCAGCCUACUGGAGUGUAACUGACGUUGAGGCUCGAAGGCGUGGGUAGCAAACAGGAUUAGAUACCCCGGUAGUC